AAGAACAAUCUGAUCAUGGAUUCUUACUUGUCACCAUCCGACCUGGCCAGAACCUGACACUGCGGAAGGCAUCUGUAAUGCGGGAAGAACUUCAGUUGACCACAUUCGAACAAGACAAAGAAACUAUUUAUUACAUGAAUGGAAGCGUAGUAGAGCAAGACAUUUACUGCGAUCCUCAAGCACUGACAAGCGUCAGCCUUACCCGCUCCAAGGGACUUCGACUGGUUGGAAUUCUGAGUCCUACAGAGCGAAUAGAACCGUCACCUUUUGAACAAGACAAGACAGAUCGUCUCGUGAAG
Molecule: long non-coding RNA, 299 nt
Organism: Rhipicephalus microplus (southern cattle tick)
Lineage: Eukaryota; Metazoa; Arthropoda; Arachnida; Ixodida; Ixodidae
Source: RefSeq, a predicted model, not a curated record